GACGAACGCUGGCGGCGUGCUUAACACAUGCAAGUCGAGCGGUAAGGCCCUUUCGGGGGUACACGAGCGGCGAACGGGUGAGUAACACGUGGGUGGCCUGCCCUCAGCUCUGGGAUAAGCCUGGGAAACUGGGUCUAAUACUGGAUAUGACUCCACGGUGCAUGUCGUGGGGUGGAAAGCCUUGUGCGGCUGAGGAUGGGCCCGCGGCCUAUCAGCUUGUUGGUGGGGUGAGGCCUACCAAGGCGACGACGGGUAGCCGGCCUGAGAGGGCGACCGGCCACACUGGGACUGAGACACGGCCCAGACUCCUACGGGAGGCAGCAGUGGGGAAUCUUGCGCAAUGGGCGAAAGCCUGACGCAGCGACGCCGCGUGAGGGAUGACGGCCUCGGUGUAAC
Molecule: ribosomal RNA, 396 nt
Filed under: uncultured bacterium
Lineage: Bacteria
Description: bacterial SSU rRNA
Rfam family: Bacterial small subunit ribosomal RNA
Source: RNAcentral